GAUGAACGCUGGCGGCGUGCUUAACACAUGCAAGUCGAACGAAACACCUUAUUUGAUUUUCUUCGGAACUGAAGAUUUGGUGAUUGAGUGGCGGACGGGUGAGUAACGCGUGGGUAACCUGCCCUGUACAGGGGGAUAACAGUCAGAAAUGACUGCUAAUACCGCAUAAGACCACAGCACCGCAUGGUGCAGGGGUAAAAACUCCGGUGGUACAGGAUGGACCCGCGUCUGAUUAGCUGGUUGGUGAGGUAACGGCUCACCAAGGCGACGAUCAGUAGCCGGCUUGAGAGAGUGAACGGCCACAUUGGGACUGAGACACGGCCCAAACUCCUACGGGAGGCAGCAGUGGGGAAUAUUGCACAAUGGGGGAAACCCUGAUGCAGCGACGCCGCGUGAGUGAAGAAGUAUCUCGGUAUGUAAAGCUCUAUCAGCAGGGAAGAAAAUGAC
This 447-nucleotide ribosomal RNA is filed under the name uncultured bacterium. RNAcentral's name for it is "bacterial SSU rRNA". It matches the Rfam family "Bacterial small subunit ribosomal RNA", at positions 28 to 455 of the family's 1533-position model. The record is from RNAcentral.